RNAcentral lists this ribosomal RNA (495 nucleotides) under uncultured bacterium. RNAcentral describes it as "partial 16S ribosomal RNA". It matches the Rfam family "Bacterial small subunit ribosomal RNA", at positions 28 to 507 of the family's 1533-position model. The record is from RNAcentral.
GACGAACGCUGGCGGCGUGCCUAAUACAUGCAAGUAGAACGCUGAAGGAGGAGCUUGCUUCUCUGGAUGAGUUGCGAACGGGUGAGUAACGCGUAGGUAACCUGCCUGGUAGCGGGGGAUAACUAUUGGAAACGAUAGCUAAUACCGCAUAAUAGUAGAUGUUGUAUGACAUUUGCCUAAAAGGUGCAAUUGCAUCACUACCAGAUGGACCUGCGUUGUAUUAGCUAGUUGGUGGGGUAACGGCUCACCAAGGCGACGAUACAUAGCCGACCUGAGAGGGUGAUCGGCCACACUGGGACUGAGACACGGCCCAGACUCCUACGGGAGGCAGCAGUAGGGAAUCUUCGGCAAUGGACGGAAGGCUGACCGAGCAACGCCGCGUGAGUGAAGAAGGUUUUCGGAUCGUAAAGCUCUGUUGUAAGAGAAGAACGAGUGUGAGAGUGGAAAGUUCACACUGUGACGGUAUCUUACCAGAAAGGGACGGCUAACUACGUG